This 445-nucleotide ribosomal RNA is filed under the name uncultured bacterium. Its description in RNAcentral is "partial 16S ribosomal RNA". It matches the Rfam family "Bacterial small subunit ribosomal RNA", at positions 354 to 796 of the family's 1533-position model. The record is from RNAcentral.
GUGAGGAAUAUUGGUCAAUGGGCGAGAGCCUGAACCAGCCAAGUAGCGUGCAGGAUGAAGGUCCUAUGGAUUGUAAACUUCUUUUGCAGGAGGGUAAAGUGAGCUACGUGUAGUUCAUUGCAAGUACCCUGCGAAUAAGCAUCGGCUAACUCCGUGCCAGCAGCCGCGGUAAUACGGAGGAUGCGAGCGUUAUCCGGAUUUAUUGGGUUUAAAGGGUGCGGAGGCGGACUAAUUAGUCAGCGGUGAAAUUGUGCGGCUCAACCGUAAAACUGCCGUUGAAACUGUUAGUCUUGAGUGCGGUAGAGGUAGGCGGAAUGUGUGGUGUAGCGGUGAAAUGCUUAGAUAUCACACAGAACACCGAUUGCGUAGGCAGCUUACUGGAGCGCAACUGACGCUGAGGCACGAAAGCGUGGGGAUCGAACAGGAUUAGAUACCCGAGUAGUCC